This 497-nucleotide ribosomal RNA is filed under the name uncultured bacterium. RNAcentral describes it as "partial 16S ribosomal RNA". It matches the Rfam family "Bacterial small subunit ribosomal RNA", at positions 28 to 507 of the family's 1533-position model. The record is from RNAcentral.
GAUGAACGCUGGCGGCGUGCCUAAUACAUGCAAGUCGAGCGAACAGACGAGGAGCUUGCUCCUUCGACGUUAGCGGCGGACGGGUGAGUAACACGUAGGUAACCUACCUAUAAGACUGGGAUAACUUCGGGAAACCGGAGCUAAUACCGUAUAAUAUUUCGAACCGCAUGGUUCGAUAGUUAAAGAUGGCUUUGCUAUCACUUAUAGAUGGACCUGCGCCGUAUUAGCUAGUUGGUAAGGUAACGGCUUACCAAGGCAACGAUACGUAGCCGACCUGAGAGGGUGAUCGGCCACACUGGAACUGAGACACGGUCCAGACUCCUACGGGAGGCAGCAGUAGGGAAUCUUCCGCAAUGGGCGAAAGCCUGACGGAGCAACGCCGCGUGAGUGAUGAAGGUCUUCGGAUCGUAAAACUCUGUUAUUAGGGAAGAACAAACGUGUAAGUAACUGUGCACGUCUUGACGGUACCUAAUCAGAAAGCCACGGCUAACUACGUG